UACGUAGGUGGCAAGCGUUGUCCGGAAUUAUUGGGCGUAAAGGGCGCGUAGGCGGAAUGUCAAGUUAGGGGUGAAAGGCCUGGGCUCAACCUGGGAACGGCCUCUAAAACUGACAAUCUAGAGUCCGGAAGAGGAUGGCGGUAUUCCCAGUGUAGAGGUGAAAUUCGUAGAUAUUGGGAAGAACACCGGUGGCGAAGGCGGCCAUCUGGUCCGGCACUGACGCUGAGGCGCGAAAGCGUGGGGAGCAAACAGG
RNAcentral lists this unclassified non-coding RNA (253 nucleotides) under uncultured Alphaproteobacteria bacterium. RNAcentral's name for it is "contains 16S-23S intergenic spacer region". It matches the Rfam family "Bacterial small subunit ribosomal RNA", at positions 524 to 776 of the family's 1533-position model. Lineage: Bacteria; Pseudomonadati; Pseudomonadota; Alphaproteobacteria. The record is from RNAcentral.